AAAUCUGCCCGAGGAUGGAGGACACAUGGAGGCUCUUCACCGGCGCCGCUGCUCGCUGGAGGAGGAUGGCAGAGCGCCGGUCCGUCUCAUCAGCUCAGGGGCCAUGAUGGAAAUGCUCAUUAUUAAACAGUGACUGAAUGCCAGGUGAUGUGAAGAGGACACCUGACACCUGAGCAGAGAGUGGGGAAAUUGACCUUUGUGAAGAAAUACAGCUCCUCUAAAGGGCCCAAGGGCGUGUUUCCAAAGGCAAAGAGAGUUAUUCAGCUCCAAGGACAUUGUGGGACUUGAAAGCAUCACUAGUUGAACAUAAACAAACCUAAAGCCCACAUAAAUUAAUAGGAUACAUACACAGGGACUUUUCAUUUUCAGUGAGCUGGCUUAGUUCCAGUGGUGUAAAGUACUUAAGUAAAUGAACUUUGUUACUUUGCUUAAGUAUUUUUUUGGGCUACUUUGUACUUGUACUAUUAAAAAUAUAAGCAACUUUUACUCCCUACUUGACUACAUUUUUGAUUGAAUAUUUGUACUCUUUACUCCACUACAUUUGAACGGACGCUUAUAGUUACUCGUUACAUUGUGAUUGUGCGUGACAAGUCGGGACUGAUGACCGUCCAUGGCCUUAUCUGAAAGAAAUGUUUUCAUUUGCCGAUAUGCAAAAUGCCUCUUACAGGAUGCAGUGUCUACUAUAAUAAGUGCUUUUAAGAAUUUAUCGGAAAAUUUGAGAAAACACAUUGAAGUAAGAGUCUAUUUA
RNAcentral lists this long non-coding RNA (748 nucleotides) under Danio rerio (zebrafish). RNAcentral's name for it is "si:dkey-184j23.1 (ENSDARG00000095731.2)". Lineage: Eukaryota; Metazoa; Chordata; Actinopteri; Cypriniformes; Danionidae. The record is from RNAcentral.